ACGAACGCUGGCGGCGUGCCUAAUACAUGCAAGUCGAGCGAAUGAUGAAGAAGCUUGCUUCUUCUGAUUUAGCGGCGGACGGGUGAGUAACACGUGGGCAACCUACCUAGUAGAUUGGGAUAACUCCGGGAAACCGGGGCUAAUACCGAAUAAUCCAUUUUGUCACAUGGCAAAAUGCUGAAAGGCGGUUUCGGCUGUCACUACUAGAUGGGCCCGCGGUGCAUUAGCUAGUUGGUGGGGUAAUGGCCUACCAAGGCAACGAUGCAUAGCCG
Molecule: ribosomal RNA, 272 nt
Filed under: Viridibacillus sp. ISO5_OTU6019
Lineage: Bacteria; Bacillati; Bacillota; Bacilli; Caryophanales; Caryophanaceae
Also listed under: 1 other name
Description: partial 16S ribosomal RNA
Rfam family: Bacterial small subunit ribosomal RNA
Source: RNAcentral